RNAcentral lists this long non-coding RNA (202 nucleotides) under Elaeis guineensis (African oil palm). RNAcentral's name for it is "long non-coding RNA (EGUI_LNC054022)". Lineage: Eukaryota; Viridiplantae; Streptophyta; Magnoliopsida; Arecales; Arecaceae. The record is from RNAcentral.
GAUCUAGUUAUCAUCAUAACUAGCUCAUUUUAUAGACCUAAUAAUUUAAAAAAUUUGGUUAACAUAAUUUAUCAGAUUAAAUAAAUAAAUCAACUAAUCUCAAUCCUCCCACUGACUUCACCAAGUCAGAUUAAGAUAAACUAAAAACAAGCCAGUCCAACAGACAAGUCAUCAAUCCUCCCAUUUACUUCAUCAAGUCACG